Molecule: microRNA, 20 nt
Filed under: Picea abies (Norway spruce)
Lineage: Eukaryota; Viridiplantae; Streptophyta; Pinopsida; Pinales; Pinaceae
Description: pab-miR11530
Source: miRBase by way of RNAcentral
UCUUCAUGGACCUCCUUGCC